CUGGCGGCAGGCCUAACACAUGCAAGUCGAGCGAGACCUUCGGGUCUAGCGGCGGACGGGUGAGUAACGCGUGGGAACGUGCCCUUCACUGCGGAAUAGUCCCGGGAAACUGGGUUUAAUACCGCAUACGCCCUUCGGGGGAAAGAUUUAUCGGUGAAGGAUCGGCCCGCGUUAGAUUAGGUAGUUGGUGGGGUAAUGGCCUACCAAGCCGACGAUCUAUAGCUGGUUUGAGAGGAUGAUCAGCCACACUGGGACUGAGACACGGCCCAGACUCCUACGGGAGGCAGCAGUGGGGAAUCUUAGACAAUGGGGGCAACCCUGAUCUAGCCAUGCCGCGUGUGUGAUGA
This 347-nucleotide ribosomal RNA is filed under the name marine bacterium SIMO-IS204. RNAcentral's name for it is "bacterial SSU rRNA". It matches the Rfam family "Bacterial small subunit ribosomal RNA", at positions 36 to 411 of the family's 1533-position model. Lineage: Bacteria; Pseudomonadati; Pseudomonadota; Alphaproteobacteria; Rhodobacterales; Paracoccaceae. The record is from RNAcentral.